UGGGGAAUAUUGCACAAUGGGCGCAAGCCUGAUGCAGCAACGCCGCGUGAGGGAUGACGGCCUUCGGGUUGUAAAACCUCUUUUAGUAGGGAAGAAGCGAAAGUGACGGUACCUGCAGAAAAAGCACCGGCUAACUACGUGCCAGCAGCCGCGGUAAUACGUAGGGUGCGAGCGUUGUCCGGAAUUAUUGGGCGUAAAGAGCUCGUAGGCGGUCUGUCGCGUCUGCUGUGAAAAUCCCGAGGCUCAACCUCGGGCCUGCAGUGGGUACGGGCAGACUAGAGUGCGGUAGGGGAGAAUGGAAUUCCUGGUGUAGCGGUGGAAUGCGCAGAUAUCAGGAGGAACACCGAUGGCGAAGGCAGUUCUCUGGGCCGUAACUGACGCUGAGGAGCGAAAGCGUGGGGAGCGAACAGGAUUAGAUACCCUGGUAGUCCACGCCGUAAACGUUGGGCGCUAGAUGUGGGGCACCA
This 467-nucleotide ribosomal RNA is filed under the name uncultured bacterium. RNAcentral describes it as "partial 16S ribosomal RNA". It matches the Rfam family "Bacterial small subunit ribosomal RNA", at positions 355 to 832 of the family's 1533-position model. The record is from RNAcentral.